This 83-nucleotide transfer RNA is filed under the name Chlamydiales bacterium. RNAcentral describes it as "tRNA-Leu". It matches the Rfam family "tRNA". Rfam says of the family: Transfer RNA (tRNA) molecules are approximately 80 nucleotides in length. Their secondary structure includes four short double-helical elements and three loops (D, anti-codon, and T loops). Further hydrogen bonds mediate the characteristic L-shaped molecular structure. tRNAs have two regions of fundamental functional importance: the anti-codon, which is responsible for specific mRNA codon recognition, and the 3' end, to which the tRNAs corresponding amino acid is attached (by aminoacyl-tRNA synthetases). tRNAs cope with the degeneracy of the genetic code in two manners: having more than one tRNA (with a specific anti-codon) for a particular amino acid; and 'wobble' base-pairing, i.e. permitting non-standard base-pairing at the 3rd anti-codon position. The record is from RNAcentral. Lineage: Bacteria; Pseudomonadati; Chlamydiota; Chlamydiia; Chlamydiales.
GCCGAUGUGGCGGAAUGGUAGACGCGGCAGAUUCAAAAUCUACUCUGGGCAACUAGGCGCUGGUUGGAGUCCAGUCAUCAGUA